UGUUGUGUGCCCAGACGGAAGAAAACGGUGAUGGGAAUCCUAAAGUGGAUUCUAUGGCUGGCGGUGUUCUCGACGGCCUUAGCAUUCUCGACCGCCAUUAUGCGAAUAUUUUUCUAUCCGCCCUACACUACCAUCCUUCUCCUGAGCUGGUUCGGAAUCCUCAGUCUCUUCAUGGUUUGGGUGUGCUUUAGAGCGAUCAGGUGCUUGUUGCGCAAAGGUGGAUGCUGGAAGAAGAAAGAUAGAGAAGGAGAAAGCCAGGGAGGCCCCAGAAGGGCCGUUGCCAUCUGCACGAAGAUUGUGGUGGGCGUGUUGAUAAUAAUUCUUUUAGGAGUUUUUCUUAUUGUAAAUAUUUUCGUGUUUAGUUAUAUAGCAGAAAGGUCAAUGAUUGGAUAAUAUGACCUAUCGUUAUUCCUAUAUGGUUUAUCCUUUAUCAUCUUUUAAAGUUACUUUGUCUUAUUUUCAUAAUGUAAUUUGCUUUUAUGUAUUUUGUUCCACGGUAUAUAGUAAAUCUGUAACUUUAAUCAUUAUUAACUUUGGUUUUGUUGUUACAGAUGAUUUAUGAGAGUUUUGUGGAACAUUAUAUCUCUUACAUAUUAAUGAUUUAUUUAUUUAAAAACACUGGAUUCAGCAGAUCUAAAACUUAUCAAUAGUACAAUGAUGCACUAAUAUAUUUAUAAAAUCUUAAAUAUCUGAAUCAUUAUCCAUACUUGAAUCAAUUAGAACCGACAUAAUAUUCAAUGGUGCAUAAAAGAUAACAAUAAUCUAAUGUAUAGAAUUAUCAAUUAUUAACAACUGUGUGCCUAUACUUAUGUUGCACAUAAUUUUAUGUAUCGAAUCAAACACUCCACCUUAUCCACUUUGAUAUAAUCAAUAAUCAAUCUCAUCAUUGUGAUAUUAAAUUGAGGGUUCAUGGGUAUUAAGAUUGAGAAAUAAAAGAAAAAAUCAAAACUUUAUAUACUCCCAGUGUCACCAUCUAUCAGAAUAAAUCGGGUCAACACUCAUCAUGAAGAUUCCACAUGAGUCCAAAAGACGUGUGUACCGGCUUCAUCGGCAAUAUGGCAAUGGCGCAAUACAUGAUGCUUGUCCAUGUAUCAUCACGUACGUACGAUAUGAUGACGUGGUGAGAGGACGAGUGCAGCAACAUCAUACCUAACUCAUCCCUUUUCCUGGACGACGUCAUGCCAUGGUCGUACCGCAAUACAAGUGUAAGUUUGGAAUCGGAAUAGUGUCUGCUACUGAUGCAUGGUUGAGUCGCUAAUAGGACCUCAUCGUUAUCAAAAGUACUCAUUUCGUAGCCAUCAAUCAUCACAGUUUUAGAUUUAGAAUAUAGGAAUAUUUACAUAAUAAUAAGAUAUAUUUUGGGUUCAAGACAUGUCACAAUCGAUGUCACGUCGUAUUACAGUCGGGUCGGCAAGGGGAGCACCCCAACACGCUAAGUCAGAAUCCGUACCAAGGCAUUGUUUGGCAUGUCCCGUCCCGGAAGCUCGGGCAGUGUCGUCUGAUGCUGUCCCGCAUGUCCCGAUACAAAGGUCGCACAGUACCGUCUCAUCCCCCGAGGAUUAGCUGUCACGCCGAACCCGUGUGCGACCGACCACCCCUACUGAUUUGCUCGUCGGAGGGGCCAAAGUUGGGAAUCACCUGACUAUAGCCAUUUUUGCAGGCAAGCGGCCACCCCCGAGCCACGAGCGUCUCAACAUGGGAAUCGCCAUCCAAUGAACGAAGGCAAGCUGCCAACCAGCCCGGGAACGGAGAGACACUGCUCAACGUAGACGACGCCUGAACUGAGAAACGCUGAUCAACACCCUGUUGCGAGGGCCCGGCCUACCUCAACGUCCAAUUCAACUGGUAGAAGACUCCCGACGUCGAUCGUGGACCGAGCCGUGCUAACUCACCAGCUACGGCACAUUUGUUCACCAACAUAUAUAAUGUGGAACACAUAAUUUAAGAUGGUUUAUUUAUUUAUAUGCAUCAUGAUUUUAGUUUCUUUUUUUCUUCUCUAUUUCUCUCGGAUUCAUAGAGUAAUCAUUUAAUUAGCACGGAUUGAUGAAUCCGUGGUUAAAGAGUUGCUGCAGUACGCAGACGCUGCCAAUCUCUGCUCGGAGAACCGACAACGACGGCUUCAUGCCCGCCCACACUGCAAGCCUUACAAGGCAGGCUUGAUGUGUUGACAGUGUUACCGGAUGCGUGCCCGGAGUCCGAUCGAGCUGUGGCAUCGCAAGGUGACUCCAUCCUUCAUCUUGCUGUGAAAUCAAACAGCUUCUAGACAGUGCAGUUCUUGCUGAACAGAACGGAUGAGAACGAUGAGCUACUCAACUUUGGAGAUGCGAAGGGCAACACCAUCCUGCACCUUGCUGUGGCCAGAAAACACCUCUAGGUAGGUAUUCCUGAUCCCAAUUAGAGGAAAUAGAUUUAAAUGUCUUCUUCUUUUCACAAGGUGUUCACAAGGAAAUAGAUUUAGGACUUUCAUCUGACUCCUAUAUAUAAAUAAAUUAGAGAUGCAUGAUGUACAUGAAUAAAGUAAUUGUACUUGUAUGGAGAGAAGAAGAUGAAAGGAAGAACAAGAGAGCAACAUUGAAUUACUCUUCCUGUCUAAAACCAAUUACUAACUCAUGCAUUAAAGUGGCCGGAGAAGAUUAAAGGUUUGUCUGCAGGAAUGCAAACUUUUAGAGUAUAAUUAUUGCAUAAUCUAGUUCAUAAUUAAUCACCCAUGGGAUAUUUAUUAUAUAAUUUAAUUCAUAUCUAAUCUAUCCAUAGGACAUUUUAUAACUAUUUAAUAAUUUAAUCACAUAAUUCAAUCCAUCAUCCUUCUUUUGCGUAACUCUGAAAAAUUAAGAAAUAAUCAUAUAAUAAAUUACACCUCUAAAAAUUGAGAAAUACAUAAAUUCUUUAUGCUUUCGAUAUAUGCUUUUGAAAUAUACAUAAAUACCAAGUCUUCCUUGGUAUUUAUACAAAAUUUACAAAACAUCAGUUUAUAUUCAUUUUAAAUUCAUGGCUUGCCAAUAAUAUUUUCAAAAUAAAAGCAUAAAUAUAACUAGUGUCACAUACAAUAACAUAAGACAUUAUAAUUACCAUUCAUAUAAAUAUAACUAGGGGUUCAUAAAUAUAAAUAUAGUUAGAAUGUAAAUGUUAAAAUACAAAUCGUAAUAAUAUCAAUGGCUAUGAUAACAUUAUAUUACUGUGAUAAAACCGUGAAUCAUGUUUAACACUUAAUGUGUAGGUAACGCAUAUCUCCUUGUAUCAAGAUGCAAAAGAAUCUAGUCUUUGAAAUAUAUUCUAAUAUAUAACCCGGAUUGAUAGGUUUCAUAUCAUACUCAUACUGAUCAUAUAAGAAAAUAAUAUAUCAAUUACUGUUUACCAAAUUAUGGGUUUCGACAUGUCUCUUUUUGUAUCUCAUUUCAAGACUAAUAUAAUUAUAUAUCAUUUGAAACCAAUAAUAAUUAUAUAUACUUUAAUCAUUUUUAAAUAUAAUGUUAAACAUAUAUUUUUGUAUAAAUUCUGAUAAGAUAACUUUAAAAUGCUUAUAAAAUAAUAAAUAACUAUUCAAACCAUAUACUUUCCCAAAUUGUAAACAUAUAAAUUUUUUUUAUACUUUUAAAUAAUAAAGAUUUAUAAAUCUGGUAAAUCAUAUGUGUUUUAUCAAUUUCAAACAAAUGCAUUAACACUUUUCAAAACAAACUAGACGGAAUCAUCAGAUACUCACUUUGAUAGCCAUGUACUUAUACAAACAUAUAGCUCUCAAAUUUCCCUUUUUCUCUCCUUUUUUUUUUAAUAUAAUAAUUUUUCUCCUUUUAUUUCCUUCACAACAUAAAUAUUUAGUUAACGUAGUACAUCAGGAUGUAUCAAUCUAUAAUUCAAUACACAAAUAUAAUUAAUAAGAAUAUAAGAGAUUUCAAAAUCAUACUUAAUAUAAUAUUUUCUGUAGUCAUCUGAAUUCAUCUGAUAUCAAACUGAGUCCUUGAUUUUUUUUAAAUUUUAUUUUUUUCCUUCCUUCCCUUUUGUUGUUGUUCUUCUUCUUUUCUUUCUUUCAUUCUCUCGUUUAGGUUCUCAUAGCUGAUGCCUCCCUAUCCUCUCUCAAAAAGAACUCAUCAGUUUUUCUUUGAUGCUUUUUCCUAUAUUAUACGUAAAUUCUCAUCGUAAAUAGAAAUGGUUGUGUAUUUCUAUAAUCUAUGAAUUCGUGCUCUACCAAUCAAAUAAGAAAAAUUAUAUUUCAACGUGGAAUGAAAAAGAUAAAUUCUACCAAUCAAAUAAGAAAAAAUCUAUUUCAACGUGGAUGGGUAGAAGGAGCCUUUUUCUUAGCUUGAUCUAUGGCCUCUCUCUCUCUCUCUCUCCUUAAACAGGAUCCUCCCUCUCUUUCUCUUUCCUUCUCCCUCCUCUUAUUUUCUUCCUCUCUUCUUCUUUUGUUCUUCUCUGUUUCCGUUUCCAUCUUUCUUUCUCCUAUUUCUUUCUUCUUCACCCUUCUCUUUUUCUUCUUCUCUUCCUUACCUCUGUGUUCUUUCUUUAUCUCCCACAGCUCCCACUUAGCCUUUGUUUUUUUUUUUUUACUUUUUAUAUUUUAAUUCCGGUAAUCUUUACAUUUAUAAUUAGAACCUCAGAUUAAAUUUGAAAUACUACACAAUAUACCGAUAUAAUAUUCUUAAACACUGAAUUGGAUGAUCAAAGAUCUUAAGAAUUUACAUAGUUAGAAGAAAAAAAACACAAUAUAUACUUUAAAUAUCUCCUCUCAUAAGCAAAACGAUUUAAUUUUGAUGUAUGAAUGAAAUACGAAUAUAUGUAUGUCCCAUAUGUAUGAAUACAAACAUAAAUGAAAAAUAGUGAUUGUACGAAUAAUUUUUAAUUAAAUAUUAAAAAAAAUAUAAAUAUAUGAUUCAAACUCAUAGUCUACUCUCGCACCAUCUUCAAAAAUUUAAUUGAUGACCACACAACCUAAGAGUCUAAACUAUUAGGAAAGGACUUAACACAAAAUAAAAAAAAAUUAGAAAGCACACAUUUAGAGAAAAAUCUUUCUGCUGACUGAGUGUAUAACAGCACUGCAAUUUCCUUUGAGGAUUUGUUCGUAUUUGGAAUUAAACGUUCACGUAACACAAAUAAAUAUGCAACUUAAAAGAACGGAAGCUUUUUAGUGGCUUAUGUACUCAAAGAGUUGCACCACUACAAUACACUUAAUCGAUCGAGCAAUAUGCCUUUUCAAACCGAAUGGCUCUUUUAAGGGGUAUUGUGAACCUGUGCAUAUCGAUCGUGUGACCAUUGGUAAGAGUCAAACAUUGUUAAUUUCCUGAAGUGGGCAAUCGAAUGAUUUUUUCAGCUGGACAAGAAAGAAUGAUGCAUGUUGGUUGGAUAUCGUUAAGUCGGAGUUUGAUUGUCUGACGUGUGAAUGAGAUUCGAAUCUAAUCGUAAUCCAUUUUUAAGUUCAUCCCAAGUUCACGUGUUGGAAAGCCGGGGGAUUGAAUCCAAGGUAUUAUAAAAUAUUACGUUGGGACAUACUCAACAAGGUUCCUCUGGUAUGAACUUAGUCAAGUUUGGAUGGUUUAGUCAAGUAUAUUUAGUCAAAUUUGCAUAUCUUUGUGGUGGUCGAAUAUCUCUUCAUGGUUUAUCCUUGGCUAUGGAAUAUUGCUCUUUCUCUGGAUCAUCUGUGUUAGUAGACUCGGGACCACCUACUAGCAUUCUUUGAGUAGAAGAGUUCGACUUAAAGGAAUCUGAACUACUAAUCUCAAGCUCCACCUGCUUCUGCGCACUAUCAUUUGUACAACUAGUAGAAUCCUCUUUAGAAGAUAACAUAGACAAUUCAUCAAAAGUAACAUCUCUACUGAUUACAAAUUUUGGGGAUUUGGGAUCAGAACAUCAUAAUCUGUAUCCUUUCACCCCAGAAGCAUACCCAAGGAAAAUACAUUUUUUAGCUCGAUGCUCUAAUUUUCCUUCAUUUACAUGCAUGUAUGCUGGACACCCAAAAAUUUUAAAAUCAGAGUAAUCAGCAGGAGUACCUGACCAAACUUCCUCCGGAGUUUUAGUUGUUAGAAGUAACGACUAUUCAUCAUAGCCUCUCUAAAGUCUUAUCAGAUGAUAUUAAUUGUAUUCAUGUCGAAAUUGAUUCUAAGUGCCUUGUCGACAUACUAAGUGGUACAUCUCGACUUUGAUAGAACUAAUGAGAUUAUGCUAUUGUUAAGAUAUUUUCACUCUUCCUUGAUCACAAAUGUAUAUCAUAAAUAUAAUAGAGGAGCCAACUGACUAGCGAACUACGCUAGAGUGCAUCUAAUUACUAUUUUUAGGUGAUUUUUGUACCCUAUGCUAUCUAAUAAAUUUUUUUUUUCCUUUUUGCAAAACAAAAAAAAAGUAUGUCAGGAUUGACGUUGACUUGCAAUUUUUGUAAUCCUCAUUUAAUGAUAAUGUUCAUUGAGAAGAAAUUUGAUUUCCAAGUUUGCUGGUCAACAAUUGAACAAUUGAAUUUUAUACAAACGCCGCAGCAAAGUGAGGUCUCUCGCAUAAGCUGCUUCCUCUAGUCUCGGAUCCAUGCUCAAUUAGUCUCCAGAUGUGCUUGCAGAUAACUCGACGCAAGAACACCUAUACAUGUAGGCUUGUGGUUGGAGCAGUUCCUCCUGGUUCAGGAGGCGAGGUUUCUUCUUGUCGAGCCUGUCCUCACCAGACGCCAAAGAGACGACUGGGUCAUCGAGCUCACAGUGGCCACUGCAGUCCCGUUUAAACAUCUUAUCCCAAGGAAUCGAUGCGGUGUAAACGCAGCGAGGGAGACGAAAGCCGAACGGCGAGUGGGAUAGCAACAGCGUGCGCAAUUGUUCGGAGAAAAAUUGGAUGUUUUUGCAGACGUCAACUGCCGUGCUUACGAGACUGCAUGCUGAACACGUUAACCUAACAUCACCUUGGUGUCCUGUCCGGCUUAUCAACUUCUUCAACCCUAACAGCGAGACUCGUAGCUCAUGACCGUUCUAAUAUAAUCUUCUUUACUUUUCAAAAGAAAAAAAAAGUCAUCCACGCUUUGGGACAAGCCGAAAUGGCUCGCUCCAUCAUCACUUUCCAACUAGUUUAUCAAUACACAGGACGUCUCCAUUUCAAGGAUCCGCUGAAGCAAUGUUUAUCAAUAUAUUAGCAGUCGAAAUCUUUCAUUUAUUGUGAAUAUUUGGAUGGUACAAGUGGCAGAAUUCCAAUCGAACUAAGCUUUCUGUGCAACAGAUCAAAUCAAUGUUAGUUAACCCUUCAUAUGUAUGAUUUCCAUCCACUAAAUCUGCUUGCCUUGAUAGCUCCUCGUCGUUUGUGGCAUCUCCCACUCAUUUACCGAUUAAAAUUUUAAGUGAAGAUAGGUUUUAGGAAGAAAUUAUUGUAAUUAGAAGAAUCCCUCUCAUCAAAAUAAUCUCCUAAGAAAUUUUGGACUAAUCAAAACUUUUUAUUGAUCAAUAAUUAUAAUUAAAUACUAUAAUAUAUCUUACUUAAUCCGAUAGACUUAUAUAAUUUAUUAAUUUUGUCCUGACCUUUACUCGGGUUUCUGUAGGUGGAUAUUAGGGGACACAUCGUCAUAUGGAUCGGUCGUAUCAGAUAGUAGACAGGCCGUGUCUGUCAUUUUCUACGUGAAGAAAAGUUAGGAAAAGCUAUAUCAUAAGUCCAUCAUGUUUCAUCAACAUUCUCAAACACAAAUACCGCACAUCGACUGUCCCACCUUCACUUCAUUCUCUAGAUAGUUUCGGCGAACGAGAAAGCAAGCUGAGAAAAAGUAUUCUACCAAGUCCAGACUGUUAGAGCUAGCCCCAAAAAAUUUACCAUAAGGUAAUUUUGACAACCCAACAAGACAAUAAAACGGAAAGAAUAAAACGAGACAAGAACACUAGAACACCAGUUAUACGUGAUUCGGUCAAUUGACCUACAUUCACGGACGAAAACGAGACAAGAACACUAGAACACCAGUUAUACGUGGUUCGGUCAAUUGACCUACAUCCACGGACGAAAGAGGAGCAAAUUACUACUAUAAAAGAGAGACACUUACAAAUGCAUUAGGAAGAUGUUCCUAGGCCAUAAAACACCUUCAGCUUACUAAACAAGAAAAACCCAAACCGUAAGCACGUUUUCUUUUGAUGCCUCUUGUGCUGCCUCUUGUGCUGCAUGUGGUACUUCUGACUUCAAAGCCCAGACCCUUAUUUAUAGUUCCAAAACGAGACAACAAGUCUGAUUUUCCCGAUGUGGGACUAUGGGACUUGCCAAACUAACAAAUCUCCACCUUGGCAUGUCCCAACAAAACUUGCUCCACCUUUUUCAUAAAAGCUCCAACGGGCAAUCACCAACAAUGAACAUCAACCAAGUCCAAGCACUGCUUGAACUUGUAAACUGGAACAAGCUUCGUAAGCAUAUCAGCUGGAUUGUCUUUCGUAUGAAUUUUUUGAACAAGGACCUUUCCCUCAGUAAUAGUAUCCCAUUUGCAUCCAACAAUUUUCUUAUCCGAAGGCGGCUUCACAAGAUCCCAAGUUCUAUUCGGAUGGAGAGACUCAAUUUCUUCAUUCAUCACAAUCAACCACUUCGCGGAAUUAUCACAAGAAACUGCAUCUGAGUAGGAAGUAGGCUCACCAACUUCACUUGUCUCUUCUGCAACAGACAAAGCAUAUGCAACCAAAUUUUCAUAUCUUUGUAGUGGUUGAAUAUCUCUCCGUGGUCUAUCUUUGGCUAUUGAGUAUUGCUCUUCCUCUGGAUCAUCUGUGUCAGUAGACUCGAGACGACCUACUGGCAUUCUUUGAGUAGAAGAGUUCGACUUAAAGGAAUCUGAACUACUAAUCUCAAGCUCCACUUGCUUCUGCGCACUAUCAUUUGUACAACUAGUAGAAUCCUCUUUGGAAGAUAACAUAGACAAUUCAUCAAAAGUAACAUCUCUACUGAUUACAAAUUUUGGGGAUUUGGGAUCAGAACACCAUAAUAUGUAUCCUUUCACCCAGAAGCAUACCCAAGGAAAAUACAUUUUUUAGCUCGAGGCUCUAAUUUUCCUUCAUUUACAUGCAUGUAUGCUGGACACCCAAAAAUUUUAAAAUCAGAGUAAUCAGCAGGAGUACCUGACCAAACUUCCUCUGGAGUUUUAAUUGUUAGAAGUAACGACUAUUCAUCAUAGCCUCUCUAAAGUCUUAUCAGAUGAUAUUAAUUACAUUCAUGUCGAAAUUGAUUCUAAGUGCCUUGUCGACAUACUUAGUGGUACAUCUCGACUUUGAUAGAACUAAUGAGAUUAUGCUAUUGUUAAGAUAUUUUCACUCUUCCUUGAUCACAAAUGUAUAUCAUAAAUAUAAUAGAGGAGCCAACUGACUAGCGAACUAAGCUAGAGUGCAUCUAAUUACUAAUUUUUAGGUGAUUUUUGUACCCUAUGCUAUCUAAUAAUUUUUUUUUCCUUUUUGCAAAACAAAAAAAAAGUAUGUCAGGAUUGACGUUGACUUGCAAUUUUUGUAAUCCUCAUUUAAUGAUAAUGUUCAUUGAGAAGAAAUUUGAUUUCCAAGUUUGCUGGUCAACAAUUGAACAAUUGAAUUUUAUACAAACGCCGCAGCAAAGUGAGGUCUCUCGCAUAAGCUGCUUCCUCUAGUCUCGGAUCCAUGCUCAAUUAGUCUCCAGAUGUGCUUGCAGAUAACUCGACGCAAGAACACAUAUACAUGUAAGCAUGUGGUUGGAGUUAGGAAAAGCUAUAUCAUAAGUCCAACAUGUUUCAUCAACAUUCUCAAACACAAAGACCGCACAUCGACUGUCCCACCUCCAGGAAAUUUACCACAAGGUAAUUUUGGCAACCCAACAAGACAAUAAAACGGAAAGAAUAAAACGAGACAAGAACACCAGAACACCAGAUAUACGUGGUUCGGUCAAUUGACCUACAUCCACGGACGAAAGAGGAACAAAUUACUACUAUAAAAGAGGGACACUUACAAAUGCCUUAGGAAGAUGUUCCUAGGCCAUAAAACACCUUCAGCUUACUAAACAAGAAAAACCCAAACCGUAAGCACGUUUUCUUGUGGUGCCUCUUGUGCUGCCUGUGGUACUUCUGACUUCAAAGCCCAAACCCUUAUUUAUAGUUCCAAAAUGAGACAACAAAUUUGAUUUUCCCGAUGUGGGACUAUGGGACUUGCCAAACUAACAAAUCUCCACCUUGGCAUGUCCCAACAAAACUUGCUCCACCUUCUUCAUAAAAACCCAACGGGCAAUCACCAACAACGAACACCAACCAAGUCCAAGCGCUGCUUGAACUUGUAAACUGGAGCAGGCUUCGUAAGCAUAUCAGCUGGAUUGUCUUUCGUAUGAAUUUUCUGAACAAGGACCUUUCCCUCAGCAAUAGUAUCCCAUUUGCAUCCUACAAUUUUCUUAUCCGAAGGCGGCUUCACAAGAUCCCAAGUUAUAUUCCGAUGGAGAGACUCAAUUUCUUCAUUCAUCACAAUCAACCACUUAGCAGAAUUAUCACAAGAAACUGCAUCUGAGUAGGAAGUAGGCUCACCAACUUCACUUGUCUCUUCUGCAACAGACAAAGCAUAUGCAACCAAAUUUGCAUAUCUUUGUGGUGGUCGAAUAUCUCUCCGUGGUCUAUCCUUGGCUAUGGAAUAUUGCUCUUCCUUUGGAUCAUCUGUGUCAGUAGACUCGGGACCACCUACUGGCAUUCUUUGAGUAGAAGAGUUCGACUUAAAGGAAUCUGAACUACUAAUCUCAAGCUCCACCUUUCUGCGCACUAUCAUUUGUACAACUAGUAGAAUCCUCUUUAGAAGAUAACAUAGAUAAUUCAUCAAAAGUAACAUCUCUACUGAUUACAAAUUUUGGGGAUUUAGGAUCAGAACAUCAUAAUCUGUAUCCUUUCACCCCAGAAGCAUACCCAAGGAAAAUACAUUUUUUAGCUCGAGGCUCUAAUUUUCCUUCAUUUACAUGCAUGUAUCCUGGACACCCAAAAAUUUUAAAAUCAGAGUAAUCAGUAGGAGUACCUGACCAAACUUCCUCCGGAGUUUUAAAGUCAAGUGCUGUAGAAGGAGCGCGGUUGACAACGUAACAUGUCAUAUUAAUCGCCUCUGCCCAAAAGUCUUUUGUCAACCCUGCAUUUGAGAUCAUACACCUUGCUCUCUCCAAGAGUGUUCUGUUCAUACGUUCGGCCACACCAUUUUGUUGAGGCAUCAUCCUAAUAGUGCGAUGCCGAACGAUUCCUUCAUUUUUGCAGAAUUCUUCAAAGUCACCUUCAUAAAAUUCCAUGCCAUUAUCUGUUCGAAGCCGCUUAAUCUGUUUACUUGUUUGCUUCUCAAUCAAAGCCUUCCAUUGUUUAAAGGUUAGAAAAACAUCACUUUUAUGCUUCAAAAAAUAAACCCAAACUUUCCUGGAAUAAUCGUCAAUGAAAGUUAACAUAUACCUAGCACCACCCUUAGACUGAACAUGAGCUGGACCCCAAAGGUCUGAAUGAAUAUAGUCAAGAGUACCUUUCGUUUUGUGAACUGCCGGAGAAGUGAAGCUGACUCUUUUCUGCUUUCCAAAAGUGCAGUGUUCACAAAAAUCAAGUGGCCCAAUACUCUGUCCGCAAAGUAGACAUCUUUUGCUCAAUAUGCUCAAACAUUUUUCGCUCAUAUGACCCAAACGCAUAUGCCAUAAUUUGGUGAUGUCAGGAUCAGACAAUGAUGAUGACGAAACUACAACCGAACCUGUGAUAGUAGUUCCCUGCAGAAUAUACAAGCUACCAGACCUACAAGCUUUCAUAACAACAAGAGCAUUUCUAGAAACUUUCAUAACUCCAUAUUCAGCUGUGUAUUUAUACCCAAGGGCCUCUAGGGUGCCUAAAGAGAUGGGAUUCUUUUUUAAAUCACGAAUAUGUCUAACAUUAGUGAGCGUCCUCACAAUACCAUCAUGCAUUUUAAUUCGGAUUGUGCCUCUACCAACAACAUCACAUGCGGCAUUAUUGCCCAUCAAAACAAUUCCACCAUUACAAGAUUCAUAUGUGGAAAACAAAUCUCUAUUGGGACACAUGUGAUAAGAACAACCCGAAUCUAAAAUCCAUUCAUUUUUAGACAUCGUCCUGUCAUCAAUAGCAGAAAAAAUAUUUUCAACAUUCUCAUCAGUUGCUACACUAACUUCAGCGGACUCAAUAGUUUUCUCAACAAGUUUUUCCUUUUGCUUUAAUUUAUUUUUCAAUUUAAAGCAAUCAGAUUUAAUGUGCCUCAUUUUAUGACAAUAUCUGCAUUCCAAAUUUCUAUGUCUGAAUUUAGAUCUAGAUUUAGAUCUUCUACUAUCAAAUUCUCUUUUAUCCAUUCUACCCCUGACAACCAGACCCUCAGCCUGAUUCUCUCUACUUUCCCCAGUGAUAUUCCUGUCUAUCUGCUCCUUAGAUUUCAGUGCAGAUUUAAUUUCUUGAUACGAAACUGUUUCUUUUCCAUAAAUCAAAGUAUCACGGAAAUGAUUAAAAGAUUAGGAAGAGAAUAAUGCUCGAUCGGGCCUUCUUAUCCAUACCCGCAAGACAUUCCUUUAUCGUACCAUCUGGAAUGUUCUCAGCUCCCUUAAGUGCCAAAUCAACUUAAUCUUGAAUCAGAAUGGCCUCCAUCUUGCCAAAGUUGACAUUUCUGUCGAAUUUCUCGAUAACGAUCUUUGUUAUUGUCAUUGUUGCCAAAAGAUCCCAAAACCAGGCUCUGAUACUAGUUUGUUAGAGCUAGCCCCAGGAAAUUUGAUUUACAUGGUUCGGUCAAUUGACUUUGACCUACAUCCACGGACGAAAGAGGAGCAAAUCACUACUAUAAAAGGGACUAUUACAAAUGCUUUAGGAAGAUGUUGCUAGGCCAUAAAACACCCGAAAAUACUAAACAAGAAAAACCAAAUUAUUUAACUGAGUGUGGACUUAAACGCAAAGCAAACACUUAGGUUUUUCUUAUGGUGCCAAUUGUGGUGCUACUUGUAGUGUAUUUGACUUCAAAGCUCAGACCCUUAUUUAUAGUUCCAAUAGAAAAUAACAAGUCUAAUUUUCCUGACGUGAGACUAUGGAACUUGCCAAACAGACUCAAUCGAAAUCGUCACCUAGUGAUGCCAAAGCCUCUGCUACUGUCGCCUUACACAGAAGCCGACUAAAUUGGUCUGAACCUAAAGAAAUGUACAACAACAAACCAGCAACACUAAUGGUGGUGGCGACGUUGAUCGCCACCACCACAUUCGAAGCUGGGUUGAACCCCCCAGGUGGGUUUAACCAGAAAGAUGAUGUUGGUUCCCCCUACACUUCUAGUCUCAAGUUAUUCCUGCUGUUCGACAUGUUCGGGUUGUUUGCAUCCUCGAGCAUCGUUCUUUUGUUGAUAUGUUGUGUUCCCAGACGGAAGAAAACGGUGAUGGGAAUCCUAAAGUGGAUUCUAUGGCUGGCGGUGUUCUCGACGGCGUUAGCAUUCUCGAUCGCCAUUAGGCGAAUAUGAUUCUAUCCGCCCUGCACUACCAUCCUUCUCAUGAGUUGGUUCGGAAUCCUCAGUCUCUUCAUGGCUUGGGUGUGCUUUAGAGUGAUCAGGUG
RNAcentral lists this long non-coding RNA (13459 nucleotides) under Musa acuminata (dwarf banana). Its description in RNAcentral is "long non-coding RNA (MACU_LNC006396)". The record is from RNAcentral. Lineage: Eukaryota; Viridiplantae; Streptophyta; Magnoliopsida; Zingiberales; Musaceae.